Molecule: long non-coding RNA, 1351 nt
Organism: Capsicum annuum
Lineage: Eukaryota; Viridiplantae; Streptophyta; Magnoliopsida; Solanales; Solanaceae
Exons: 2
Source: RefSeq, a predicted model, not a curated record
CAAUUGGUGAAUUGAAUUUUUAAUUAGAUUAAAAUUUAAAUAAUUGUCUAAAUCCUCAAUUCCUAAUCUACCCAAAAAUAACCCAAUGCCCAGCCCAAACUUCCUCUUCUUUUCCCACUUAACCCAACAACCCACUUUCCUUAAACCAGCCAACUCCAGGCCCAAAAUAAGUCGACCCGGCCCAAUCCCCUUCUCUCCCCUCCCCUAAAUCAACGUACAACAGCAGCAACACAUCGUCAUCUUCUUCAAAACAGCGUAACAACAACAGCUUCAACCACACCAGCCAACUUCAUCGACAACAAACAACUUCAAACGGCAAAAUUCAUUAACAACAUCAACAACAACACUUUCAGCAGCCAACAACAACCCUAGCGAACCAAUUUCAAAUGACCCGAACCAACAACGUUGACCUAACCCGGCGCGAACACCAAAAUUCAACCAAACAAAUUCCUUGAAUCACGGAAAAGACGUCUCUCUUCACCUUAUCUCUGCAAUUUUGCAGGCCAAGGAGCCAUCUUUGUUGACCUUUUGCUUAAGAUUGAGUGUCUUCAAUGCCAAAAUCCAAUCCAAAUCAGAAAGGUCAGUCCAAAUCCGAAAUUUAGGAAUGUGUUUCUCUAUUUUUUGAAGAGGAAAAAUUGAUAUCUUCCCCUAUAAAUAGGGAUUGAGGGGGAGAGGGCAAGGUAGAGGAUUUUUGGGAAAAAACUUGAAGAUUCUGGAAGCGCAUGCUUCUAAUCUCACGUAACCGGAAAUCUUCGAAGAAAGAAAAGAAUCAAAAUUUGUCGAUUUGUUGGAAUUCCAGUGAUCGGAAUCGAGCUUAGGUGGUGGAAGUUCGGUCGUUAAGCCCGUUUGUCCCUGUUCCUGCACCAAAACAGACUCUCUUCCCUCGUAUUUCGUUGGAUUAAACCCAACUUGCAUCGAGUCAAGACCCAUAUCAAGUCCAAAAUGGACUAAUGCAUGAAGAAAUUGGGCUGCAGAUAUACAGCAGCAUACAUGGGACAUACAGUAAAAAAUGGGAGGUGAAGCUGGUGUACAGGUGGAAGGCUAAAAUAUAUGCGUAUUUGGCUGAUAUACAUUCCGAUAUACACCAGAUAUACAAAAACGCAGCAGCAGCGAAACUGAUAUGCAGUCAGUAUACAGCUGAUAUACAUUGCAGGGAAAUGGACUUAAAAGUCCAUAAAAUGGGAAGCCCAAAGCUGGGCAGCCCACUGAUGAGCCCAAAAAGGGCCCAAUCUAACUUUUAAAUCUCUUAUUCUCUUAUUUAUACUUGUUUAUUUGUACUAACUUAAAUUAGUUUUUUUUGGUGAAAACUAACUUUAAUUAAUUAAUCCAGUGCUUCCCCAUGUUGUUGCUA